Molecule: ribosomal RNA, 253 nt
Filed under: uncultured bacterium
Lineage: Bacteria
Description: partial 16S ribosomal RNA
Rfam family: Bacterial small subunit ribosomal RNA
Source: RNAcentral
UACGAAAGGGGCUAGCGUUGUUCGGAAUUACUGGGCGUAAAGCGCACGUAGGCGGCCUUGUAAGAUGGGGGUGAAAUCCCCGGGCUCAACCCGGGAACUGCCUUCAUGACUGCAAAGCUAGAGGAUGCGAGAGGUUAGCGGAAUUCCGAGUGUAGAGGUGAAAUUCGUGGAUAUUCGGAAGAACACCAGUGGCGAAGGCGGCUAACUGGCGCAUUUCUGACGAUGAGGUGCGAAAGCGUGGGUAGCGAACAGG